RNAcentral lists this ribosomal RNA (253 nucleotides) under uncultured bacterium. RNAcentral describes it as "partial 16S ribosomal RNA". It matches the Rfam family "Bacterial small subunit ribosomal RNA", at positions 524 to 776 of the family's 1533-position model. The record is from RNAcentral.
UACAGAGGUCUCAAGCGUUGUUCGGAUUCAUUGGGCGUAAAGGGUGCGUAGGUGGCGGGGUAAGUCUGGUGUGAAAUCUCGGGGCUCAACCCCGAAACUGCACUGGAUACUGCCUUGCUUGAGUACUGGAGAGGAGAUUGGAAUUUACGGUGUAGCAGUGAAAUGCGUAGAUAUCGGGAGGAACACCUAUGGCGAAAGCAGGUCUCUGGGCCAUCACUGACGCUGAGCUGCGAAAGCUAGGGGAGCAAACAGG